RNAcentral lists this ribosomal RNA (464 nucleotides) under uncultured bacterium. Its description in RNAcentral is "partial 16S ribosomal RNA". It matches the Rfam family "Bacterial small subunit ribosomal RNA", at positions 339 to 795 of the family's 1533-position model. The record is from RNAcentral.
CUACGGGGUGCUCCAGUGGGGAAUAUUGCACAAUGGGCGCAAGCCUGAUGCAGCCAUGCCGCGUGUAUGAAGAAGGCCUUCGGGUUGUAAAGUACUUUCAGCGGGGAGGAAGGGAGUAAAGUUAAUACCUUUGCUCAUUGAUGUUACCCGCAGAAGAAGCACCGGCUAACUCCGUGCCAGCAGCCGCGGUAAUACGGAGGGUGCAAGCGGUAAUCGCAAUUACUGGGCGUAAAGCGCACGCAGGCGGUUUGUUAAGUCAGAUGUGAAAUCCCCGGGCUCAACCUGGGAACUGCAUCUGAUACUGGCAAGCUUGAGUCUCGUAGAGGGGGGUAGAAUUCCAGGUGUAGCGGUGAAAUGCGUAGAGAUCUGGAGGAAUACCGGUGGCGAAGGCGGCCCCCUGAACGAAGACUGACGCUCAGGUGCGAAAGCGUGGGGAGCAAACAGGAUUAGAUACCCCGGUAGUC